AGUAAUAUGCCUGAUAAAAAGGGCUAUUUUGAUGAAGUAGAUUAUAAAUUAAUAUUUUAUUA
RNAcentral lists this transfer RNA (62 nucleotides) under Setaphyes kielensis. RNAcentral's name for it is "tRNA-Ile". The record is from RNAcentral. Lineage: Eukaryota; Metazoa; Kinorhyncha; Allomalorhagida; Pycnophyidae.